This is a long non-coding RNA of Aegilops tauschii subsp. strangulata, 1660 nucleotides long. RefSeq lists it as uncharacterized. The record is from RefSeq and is a predicted model, not a curated record. Lineage: Eukaryota; Viridiplantae; Streptophyta; Magnoliopsida; Poales; Poaceae.
CCACUCCUACCCACCUUCUUCCCCCUCCCCGCACUCAAAUCCUAGCCGGCGGCUAGCCACCAGUGUCGCCCAUCUUCCUCCCCCGCUGCCUUUACCUUCCCUCCCCUUCCCCCACCUCCACCCGCCACCACCUUCCGCCGCGAGGCACCCCACCCCACAACAUCCAGACCCCCUCCUCCCGCAGCGUCGGCCACCGCCUCCCACCACACCGACCUCCAAUCUGCCCCGCCCCCGCGCCAGACACGGCUGCAGAAGCACCGGCCCCGUGCUGCCCCCUGGUCGACCAUCUCGACGACCAGCGACUCCAUGCUCCCCUCCAAGGACCGACGCCUCCGUCCUGCCUCCUCCCCAGCUGGCCCGCUGGAUGGCUGGCGCCGCCCGGCCACCGCCUCCCACCCCUCCGCCCGGCCACCGCCUACUGCGCCCACGACCACCACCACCCCACCGCACGACGCUGUUCUAGCCAUCUUCCUCCCCGCCGCCACUCUGGAUCCGGCAGUCACUGCGUUUCUCGUGUCGGAUCCAGCCGCCGUUCAGCCAGAUCUGCCGCCCGGCGUGCUACACCGGACACGCGCGGCGGUGGCGCUGGUACUGCGCGGGCGGUGGAGAGGGAGGAACACCACCUCGACGCCGCUGCCCCUGCCAUCUCCCGGCCUCGUCGACCAUCCCCUCGCCUCGUUCUGCGUCACCGUUGAGGAACAUGCAGUACGGCGCAGGCAGUUCGGCCAUUGUGGCAGUGCAGCUCGGAGGCGCGCGUAAUGCCAUUCAGUGCUCGCGUGGGUGCAGCCUUGGGCGAUCUCUUUGCAAGCGGAUGCAAAAAUCGUCAUCGCGGCUUGCAAAAAUGCAGUUCGGGCGGCUCCACGGCCAGCCCCAUCACAUCCAGCUAGCACGUGCAGUGCGGACGGACGGCGAGCACGUGCCGUGCGGUGCGGAUGGCGAGCACGUGCAGUCCGGUGGGCGCGUGCGUGCAGCGCGCUGAGUGUGGGCGUCGGAUCAACGCCGCCCCCUAUGCAGGAUCCCACGGACAGCGUCGGAUCUCGCGAGAUCGAACUUCUCUGCUCUGACAUGGCUGUCUCUCGUCCACCCAGUCUAUCGAGGCGAGCUUGCUCCGACGAGAUCCUUUUCGUCUAUGAUCCCCGCCGUCCAUCCUCUCCCCUCGACGGCCUCCUGCAAGCACGGCUGGGUCGACGCCCGCCCGUCCAGCGCCUCCUUCUUCUGCCCCGCGAUGAGGUCAAUGGCCUCUGCGCACAUGGGGCAGUCCGCUGGUGCACACCAUGUGGUCCACAGGUACGACGUCGUGAUACGCCCCGGAGCUCCCCUGUCGGGUUGAACGAGUUACAGAGGAGGCUUCACUUGCCUCGAGCGGUUUAGAUGUAAAAAUGCAGCAGUUCUGAACCCCGUGUUCCAUAUUUUCAGAAGCAGAGGCAGAGGAAGUGGAGUUCCUGCGGCCAUUUUAGUACUUGUUUUUUGCUACUUGGUGCUUUGCCGCAGUUCGGCUGAGUCGACAAUGUAGUUCUUUUUUGGAAAUCAUUUGCAGUGCGCUUGGUAACAAAAGAGAAGCAUCUCAAGUUUCAUUUUGUUGUUUGGAGGAACGCACUGCAUUGAUAUUUUGUUUUUGGAAAAAGACAGAAAACUUAAUGCAAUUCGUUAGCAUCGACUA